RNAcentral lists this long non-coding RNA (1456 nucleotides) under Mus musculus (house mouse). RNAcentral describes it as "long non-coding RNA chr11:110485878-110487334". Lineage: Eukaryota; Metazoa; Chordata; Mammalia; Rodentia; Muridae. The record is from RNAcentral.
AUAGCUCCUUGAGUAUCACAGAAGGUCAAAAAGCUGUUUUAUAUACAUGAUCUACUCAUGCUUCUGACCACGUAAUAAAAUAAACAAACAAUGCAUGUAAUAGUAACCAGGGAGCUGUUUAUCUGCAUAGCAGGUGGGUCUUCAAUCAAAUAAAUGAACAGUACAUGUAACAGUGACCAACAAGCUGGUUCCUUGUAUACAGUCGUAGAUAAGUAAAUAAUUAUCAAACUAGGCCAUCACUGGUAUUCACUGGUUGUCUUAGGCAACCUUUAGAAUACAUUUGGUCUUCCAGGGAAAGAAUUUUCUACUAAGUUUGGUUCUUUCCCCAGAGGAAUAAAAUAUUGAAUAAUUGACAAGAAUAUCCAGGUUUAAGCUUUGUGUGGCUAACGGUGACCACCUCAGGUAAACUAAUAUGUUCAACUCUGGAUGUGAGGAGCCCAGUGUCUGGAAAUCCAACCUGAGCUGUCAGGCUUGGCUCCAUCCUUUGAUACUUUUGGCAGAGCUGAUGAACCCAGAGGCCCCAGGCUUGGGUGGAUUAGUCAUUUUCAUUGGAAGCCUGAGUAUUAGGAACCCAUCCCUUGAUUCCCUUGAUUUACAUGGGAAUUGUGGAGUGGGUAAGGCACUUUAUCCAGUUAUUUUAACUUCUUUCUUCUCUUCUGACUCCUUUGGUCAAGGCUGAGGAUUGGGUGACAUGAUGUUUUUACUCAGUGUAGUCAUUAAUUGUGUUUCUUUAUAAAAAUCACCAAGCUUUUCUGGUGUGCAUUUUUAUUCAUUUAGAAAAUGGUACCAUGUCCUAUGAUGUUGCCAUGAAGUAUAAGCAGAGAUCAGAGUCAGGGGCAGCAAGCAUUUGGGAAAGCUAGAGAGUAUGUCUCCUGUGUUGUAACAGAGCCAUGGUGGCAUCAAUUGUAUAUUCUUUGCCGGUUAUUUUUAUAGAAUAUUGUGGAAUCAUUAAAUUUAUGAAAGACUUUCAUAGCUGGCUGGGCCAUAGGAGGUGGUUUGCAAGCCAUGGUUUCAAAUAGAAGAUUGGAUCUGGAAGAGGAUCUAUCUAUCCAGUAGUCUCAUUGGUUGGCAAGAAAAUGGAGGUAGCCCAAAUAUUUAGUGACUUUUCUUUCUCCUCCAUAGCUUUACCAAGGAAAAAUGUCAAAGAGUUUGUUCUAGUUACAUUUGUCUUCCUUUUUAAAGGCUGUUACAAUUAGUGGAAACAAAUUGUAACAACUAAGGAAAAACAGCUUUGACCGCAGAAUGAGAAGUUAGGAGUAGAGAGAUGUUCCAUGUUCCAGAGGUAGGAGUGCUUACUUCUGUAGAGUGUCUGAAUUUUAUUCCCAGCACACACAACGUGUGUGCUCACAACCACCUGUAAUUCCAGUCCCAGGGGAUCUGAUGCCCUCUACUGGCCCCUACAGGCACCUACAGCCAUGUGUGCAUAUCCACACACAGAAGUACACAUACAUACACG